RNAcentral lists this transfer RNA (77 nucleotides) under Candidatus Cloacimonadota bacterium. RNAcentral's name for it is "tRNA-Glu". It matches the Rfam family "tRNA". Rfam says of the family: Transfer RNA (tRNA) molecules are approximately 80 nucleotides in length. Their secondary structure includes four short double-helical elements and three loops (D, anti-codon, and T loops). Lineage: Bacteria; Pseudomonadati; Candidatus Cloacimonadota. The record is from RNAcentral.
GUUCCCAUCGUCUAGAGGCCAAGGACAUCUGGUUUUCAUCCAGAAGAUCGCGGGUUCGACUCCCGCUGGGAAUACCA